RNAcentral lists this long non-coding RNA (384 nucleotides) under Capsicum annuum. Its description in RNAcentral is "long non-coding RNA (CANN_LNC015464)". The record is from RNAcentral. Lineage: Eukaryota; Viridiplantae; Streptophyta; Magnoliopsida; Solanales; Solanaceae.
AGCUACUCCUGUCAGUCAUAGACAGACAUCAGCACUAAGUCACCAGCGAAGAAGAGGUAGAAUGGGUACGGGCCUAGUUUGCUAAUUUUUAUGGGGUCCCACAUACUAGUGUUGAGGUCAUUGUUUAUGUUAUGGGCCAAGACUUCCAUGCAGAGAAUAAAAUGGACGGUGAUAUUGGAUCUCCCUGACAAAUCUCCCUAGAGGGACUGAAAAAGUCAGUCCUCGUACCAUUGACUAAAACUGCUACGGAUAGUACAAAUACAGGACAUUAUGAUGUUUAUAAUAUGGUGAGGGAAGUUAAAGUAAUGUAAUGUGUGCCUAAUAAAGGACUAUUCCGGCUUAUCAAAUGCCUUUUCUAAGACUAUUUUCAUAAUGACACUGCCC